This 149-nucleotide unclassified non-coding RNA is filed under the name soil metagenome. RNAcentral describes it as "partial internal transcribed spacer 1". The record is from RNAcentral.
CCGAGUUUACAACUCCCAAACCCCUGUGAACAUACCUAUACGUUGCCUCGGCGGAUCAGCCCGCGCCCCGUAAAAAGGGACGGCCCGCCCGAGGACCCCUAAACUCUGUUUUUAGUGGAACUUCUGAGUAAAACCAAUAAAAUAAAUCA